CCUACGGGAGGCAGCAGUGAGGAAUAUUGGUCAAUGGCCGUAAGGCUGAACCAGCCAAGUAGCGUGAGGGAAGACUGCCCUAUGGGUUGUAAACCUCUUUUAUGCGGGGAUAAAGGUGUCCACGUGUGGAUGUUUGCAGGUACCUCAUGAAUAAGGACCGGCUAAUUCCGUGCCAGCAGCCGCGGUAAUACGGAAGGUCCGGGCGUUAUCCGGAUUUAUUGGGUUUAAAGGGAGCGUAGGCCGGUCUUUAAGCGUGCCGGGAAAUUUUGUGGCUCAACCAUGAGAGUGCGGCGCGAACUGGAGACCUUGAGUGCGCGGAAGGCAGGCGGAAUUCGUGGUGUAGCGGUGAAAUGCUUAGAUAUCACGAAGAACCCCGAUUGCGAAGGCAGCCUGCCGCAGCGUGACUGACGCUGAAGCUCGAAAGCGCGGGUAUCGAACAGGAUUAGAUACCCCUGUAGUC
This 460-nucleotide ribosomal RNA is filed under the name uncultured bacterium. Its description in RNAcentral is "partial 16S ribosomal RNA". It matches the Rfam family "Bacterial small subunit ribosomal RNA", at positions 338 to 795 of the family's 1533-position model. The record is from RNAcentral.